CUAAUCUUAAGAUAUGGGAUAUAAGAAAAAAAGGAUGCAUCCACACAUACAAAGGUCAUACUCGAGGAAUAAGUACCAUACGAUUCUCCCCUGAUGGCCGCUGGGUGGUUUCUGGCGGAUUUGACAAUGUUGUGAAGGUAUGGGACCUAACAGCUGGAAAGCUCUUGCACGACUUUAAGUUCCAUGAAGGGCACAUUCGAUCCAUAGAUUUCCAUCCACUUGAGUUUCUUUUGGCAACAGGUUCAGCUGACCGCACCGUGAACUUUUGGGAUUUGGAAACAUUUGAAUUGAUUGGAUCGACUCGACGUGAGGCUGCAGGAGUACGAUCAAUCACCUUUCACCCGGAAGGAAGGACUCUGUUUUGUGGAUUGGAUGAUAGCUUGAAGGUUUAUUCAUGGGAGCCUGUAAAUUGUCAUGACUCUGUUGAAAUGGGAUGGUCGACUUUAAGCGAUCUCUGCAUACAUGAUGGGAAGCUUGUAGGUGGUGCUUAUUACCAAAACUAUGUUGGAG
Molecule: unclassified non-coding RNA, 510 nt
Filed under: Hevea brasiliensis (rubber tree)
Lineage: Eukaryota; Viridiplantae; Streptophyta; Magnoliopsida; Malpighiales; Euphorbiaceae
Source: RNAcentral